CCUACGGGAGGCAGCAGUGGGGAAUUUUGGACAAUGGGCGCAAGCCUGAUCCAGCCAUGCCGCGUGCAGGAUGAAGGCCUUCGGGUUGUAAACUGCUUUUGUGAACAGUGCGGUACCGUAAGAAUAAGCACCGGCUAACUACGUGCCAGCAGCCGCGGUAAUACGUAGGGUGCGAGCGUUAAUCGGAAUUACUGGGCGUAAAGCGUGCGCAGGCGGUUAUGUAAGACAGAUGUGAAAUCCCCGGGCUCAACCUGGGAACUGCAUUAGUGACUGCAUAGCUGUAGUACGGCAGAGGGGGAUGGAAUUCCGCGUGUAGCAGUGAAAUGCGUAGAUAUGCGGAGGAACACCGAUGGCGAAGGCAAUCCCCUGGGCCUGACUGACGCUCAUGCACGAAAGCGUGGGGAGCAAACAGGAUUAGAUACCCUUGUAGUC
This 432-nucleotide ribosomal RNA is filed under the name uncultured bacterium. RNAcentral describes it as "partial 16S ribosomal RNA". It matches the Rfam family "Bacterial small subunit ribosomal RNA", at positions 338 to 795 of the family's 1533-position model. The record is from RNAcentral.